Molecule: non-coding RNA, 123 nt
Organism: Phyllosticta citrichinensis
Lineage: Eukaryota; Fungi; Ascomycota; Dothideomycetes; Botryosphaeriales; Phyllostictaceae
Source: the annotation of a GenBank genome assembly
UUCAUCGUGGUGUAGUGGCACAGCAUGCCAGAUUUUCACGCAGCCGCCGGUGCACGCAGCCUGAGAGGCAUGCGCAUGGUGCCGAAACAUCUGGAGACCCGAUUUCGAUUCUCGGCGAUGGAA